Molecule: ribosomal RNA, 254 nt
Filed under: uncultured bacterium
Lineage: Bacteria
Description: partial 16S ribosomal RNA
Rfam family: Bacterial small subunit ribosomal RNA
Source: RNAcentral
UACAGAGGUCCCAAGCGUUGUUCGGAUUCAUUGGGCGUAAAGGGUGCGUAGGCGGCGCGGUAAGUCGGGUGUGAAAUCUCGGAGCUUAACUCCGAAACUGCAUUCGAUACUGCCGUGCUUGAGGACUGGAGAGGAGACUGGAAUUUACGGUGUAGCGGUGAAAUGCGUAGAUAUCGUAAGGAAGACCAGUGGCGAAGGCGGGUCUCUGGACAGUUCCUGACGCUGAGGCACGAAGGUCCAGGGGAGCAAACGGG